This 742-nucleotide ribosomal RNA is filed under the name uncultured bacterium. RNAcentral describes it as "bacterial SSU rRNA". It matches the Rfam family "Bacterial small subunit ribosomal RNA", at positions 8 to 796 of the family's 1533-position model. The record is from RNAcentral.
AGAGUUUGAUCAUGGCUCAGAGCGAACGCUGGCGGCAGGCCUAACACAUGCAAGUCGAGCGCCGUAGCAAUACGGAGCGGCAGACGGGAGAGUAACACGUGGGAACGUGCCCUUCAGUUCGGAACAACCCAGGGAAACUUGGGCUAAUACCGGAUACGUCCGUAAGGAGAAAGAUUUAUUGCUGAAGGAUCGGCCCGCGUCUGAUUAGCUAGUUGGUGGGGUAAUGGCCCACCAAGGCGACGAUCAGUAGCUGGUCUGAGAGGAUGAUCAGCCUCACUGGGACUGAGACACGGCCCAGACUCCUACGGGAGGCAGCAGUGGGGAAUAUUGGACAAUGGGCGCAAGCCUGAUCCAGCCAUGCCGCGUGGGUGAUGAAGGCCCUAGGGUUGUAAAGCCCUUUCGGCGGGGAAGAUAAUGACGGUACCCGCAGAAGAAGCCCCGGCUAACUUCGUGCCAGCAGCCGCGGUAAUACGAAGGGGGCUAGCGUUGCUCGGAAUCACUGGGCGUAAAGCGCACGUAGGCGGCUUUUUAAGUCAGGGGUGAAAUCCUGGAGCUCAACUCCAGAACUGCCUUUGAUACUGAGAAGCUUGAGUCCGGGAGAGGUGAGUGGAACUGCGAGUGUAGAGGUGAAAUUCGUAGAUAUUCGCAAGAACACCAGUGGCGAAGGCGGCUCACUGGCCCGGUACUGACGCUGAGGUGCGAAAGCGUGGGGAGCAAACAGGAUUAGAUACCCCCGUAGUCC